This 1748-nucleotide unclassified non-coding RNA is filed under the name Hevea brasiliensis (rubber tree). The record is from RNAcentral. Lineage: Eukaryota; Viridiplantae; Streptophyta; Magnoliopsida; Malpighiales; Euphorbiaceae.
AAGGCAUGCCGUUCAAGGUUCAACAAAUUUCAACGACUCGUCGUUGAGUAAAUGAUAGUCGUUUGAUCUCUUUUGGGCUUUUCAAAGCUGGUAGUCGCCAGGUUGGGCAAAGUGAAAAAACCAGAGAGAUCGUCAUUCAGUAGAGAAAGAGAGGCAGAUAGAGAGAAGGAAGGAGAGGGAAGGAAGCAAAUGGGGAGCCUAUAUACAUGGCUGCUGAAUUUAUUUCUCCUUAUAUCUGUCAUUGGCCUCAUAGCAUUCCAGAUUUGAUUUGGUUUCAGCUCAUGUGCUUGACGGAUCUGGAGUUUGAUUAUAUGAACCCUUAUGAUUCAGCAUCUCGGAUAAACAUAGUAAUUUUGCCCGAGUAUUUUGCUCAAGCACUGCUAUGCCUUACCUUUCUAAUCACUGGACACUGGUUUUUCUUUCUCUUGUCCCUCCCCUACCUAUACUACAAUAUCACAUUGUAAGUUAUCAUUUUUCAUCCCUAACCCAUUCAAUCAUUCCUUAAACAAUGAAUUCUUAUACCAAGGAAUGCUAUAACGUAGGUGGGUUUUAAAAUUGCAAGUUAAUUAGGACCAUGAAUGUCUAUGAAAUGCACCAAAAGUUCCAUUUUUUGUUAUAAUUUUUCUAGAUGAAUGCAGCAUUUUUGAAAUUGUCGACUGAAAAUGAAUAAAGAUGAAUCUUUUCCCCCUCAAAAUGAUGCUUCUAUUGCCCUUUUAUAGGUGCCAUAGUUGCAAGUUAUCAUUGCCAUCAAAAUGAUUUGUAAACCUAUGGUCAGGUACUUGCAGAGACGGCACUUAGUUGAUGUUACUGAGAUCUAUAACCAGCUGAAUCGGGAAAAGCAGCGGAGGCUUUUUAAGCUUGGCUUUCUUGUGAUUCUUUUGGUCCUUUGUAUAUUCUGGUUUCUUUGGACAAUUGGAGAAGCAUUUGAAUAAUCAGGCGUUUAGUGCUCUUGCCAAGUUUCCCUGCUGUGACAUGUUUUUUUGGUGGGGAACCAUACAAACUGUUGGGGAUUACACUCAGGGCUUCUGUAAAUUUAGCAUGAAUUUCACUUUAAUUUUAUUUUAAUUGAGUUAUUUAGCUUCCAUCAAAUUGUAUUAUAGUUUAUCCAGUUCUAAUGACUGGUCAUCUGCAAUGAUGACAAAUUAGAAACCUAGCUGAGGAGGAAGGUAGCUUUUUGUCUGGCAUAAUUAUUCAGAUUCUUCAUUUUUAUAUCAGAUAAGAUGAUCCAUCAGAUGUGCUUAGCAGUUGUUAUCUCAUGUUACUGCUCUGUUUUAAUAGAUUGAGAAGAUAGUUUUUCAUGUGUGAAUCAAUGACUGUUUAGAUUUCUAAUUUUAUGAGCUGUUACUCCUCACUAUUCAGAUGGUAGUGUUUGUUCGUUUUGCUCUUUCUGUAGAGAAAUACGAAGAAGCAGGCGCCAUCAUCUAAUUUUGCAACAAUAACAGGCCAGAUUCAAUGAUGUUGGACUCUGAUUCUUUUGUCUAUACGAGACAGAGGUCACCUGAGUAUAGUCAGGUAGUUUGGCGGUCCAAGUAGAGAUAAGACUUCUAUCAAGGUGUUCUGCUAGAGAAUGAGAUAAGGUGAUUCAGUUCAUUCUCCUUUCUUUUCUAUUGCUAUAUUUUUGGAUUUUCUGAUUUGUUAUGCUAUACAAGACUCCAAAUGCUUUAUUUUGCUGUUAAACCAUAGCCAAUCUUCCUUGCUAACAAAUCUAUAUUCUAUUUCAUGAUUAAAUAUGGGAACUUUAAAUUUUG